RNAcentral lists this transfer RNA (73 nucleotides) under Myotis lucifugus (little brown bat). It matches the Rfam family "tRNA". From Rfam's summary of the family: Transfer RNA (tRNA) molecules are approximately 80 nucleotides in length. Their secondary structure includes four short double-helical elements and three loops (D, anti-codon, and T loops). Further hydrogen bonds mediate the characteristic L-shaped molecular structure. tRNAs have two regions of fundamental functional importance: the anti-codon, which is responsible for specific mRNA codon recognition, and the 3' end, to which the tRNAs corresponding amino acid is attached (by aminoacyl-tRNA synthetases). tRNAs cope with the degeneracy of the genetic code in two manners: having more than one tRNA (with a specific anti-codon) for a particular amino acid; and 'wobble' base-pairing, i.e. permitting non-standard base-pairing at the 3rd anti-codon position. The record is from Rfam by way of RNAcentral. Lineage: Eukaryota; Metazoa; Chordata; Mammalia; Chiroptera; Vespertilionidae.
GCCGGCGUGGCUCAGUGGAUAGAGCGUCGGCCUGCGGAUUGAAGGAUCACAGGUUCAAUUCCUGUCAAGGGCA